UCUAUGCUUGCGCCCGUGACCAUGCGGAGGAUCAUUACCGAGUGCGGGUCCCCUCGCGGGGCCCAACCUCCCAUUGUGUCUACCGUCACCUGUUGCUUCGGCGGGCCCGCCUUCGUGCCGCCGGGGGGCCCUCUGCGCCCCCGGGCCCGCGCCCGCCGAGGACUCUAGGAACACUGAAUGAAGGAUGCCGUCUGAGUCAACGACACAAUCGUUAAAACUUUCAACAACGGAUCUCUUGGUUCCGGCAUCGAUGAAGAACGCAGCGAAAUGCGAUAAGUAAUGUGAAUUGCAGAAUUCCGUGAAUCAUCGAAUCUUUGAACGCACAUUGCGCCCCCUGGUAUUCCGGGGGGCAUGCCUGUCCGAGCGUCAUUACUGCCCAUCAAGCCCGGCUUGUGUGUUGGGUCGACGUCCCCUCCCUCGCGGGGGGACGGACCCGAAAGGCAGUGGCGGUGCCGCGCCGGUGCUUCGAGCGUAUGGGGCUUUGUCACCCGCUCCGGAGGCCUGGCCGGCGCCCGUCGUCCCCACACUAUUUUUCUCGGUGGACCUCGGAUCAGGUAGGGAUACCCGCUGAACUUAAGCAUAUCAAUAAGCGGAGGA
This 597-nucleotide ribosomal RNA is filed under the name Eurotiales sp. P10-18a. RNAcentral describes it as "eukaryotic LSU rRNA". The stretch from base 216 to 369 matches the Rfam family "5.8S ribosomal RNA". The record is from RNAcentral. Lineage: Eukaryota; Fungi; Ascomycota; Eurotiomycetes; Eurotiales.